RNAcentral lists this ribosomal RNA (496 nucleotides) under uncultured bacterium. Its description in RNAcentral is "partial 16S ribosomal RNA". It matches the Rfam family "Bacterial small subunit ribosomal RNA", at positions 28 to 506 of the family's 1533-position model. The record is from RNAcentral.
GAUGAACGCUGGCGGCGUGCCUAAUACAUGCAAGUCGAGCGAACGGACGAGAAGCUUGCUUCUCUGAUGUUAGCGGCGGACGGGUGAGUAACACGUGGAUAACCUACCUAUAAGACUGGGAUAACUUCGGGAAACCGGAGCUAAUACCGGAUAAUAUUUUGAACCGCAUGGUUCAAAAGUGAAAGACGGUCUUGCUGUCACUUAUAGAUGGAUCCGCGCUGCAUUAGCUAGUUGGUAAGGUAACGGCUUACCAAGGCAACGAUGCAUAGCCGACCUGAGAGGGUGAUCGGCCACACUGGAACUGAGACACGGUCCAGACUCCUACGGGAGGCAGCAGUAGGGAAUCUUCCGCAGUGGGCGAAAGCCUGACGGAGCAACGCCGCGUGAGUGAUGAAGGUCUUCGGAUCGUAAAACUCUGUUAUUAGGGAAGAACAUAUGUGUAAGUAACUGUGCACAUCUUAACGGUACCUAAUCAGAAAGCCACGGCUAACUACGU